Molecule: unclassified non-coding RNA, 302 nt
Filed under: Hevea brasiliensis (rubber tree)
Lineage: Eukaryota; Viridiplantae; Streptophyta; Magnoliopsida; Malpighiales; Euphorbiaceae
Source: RNAcentral
AAGGUACCCACGAAUUUUAAAGUAUCCGAAUCCGAACCCGUGUAAAAUAUGAACUAUCUGAACCCAUCUUAAAUCUGAAUAAAAUAUAUCUUUAACUGCCCAAAUCCUAUUACUAAUACCCACAUGCUACCUGAAACUGACCAAACCCGUUAUUUUAUUAUAUUUUUGCUGGAAAAUGGGAAAAAAAAUCUAAAUGGGUUGGAUAACCAGACCCGAACAUUUUAAAUUCAUGUUUAAUAAACAACUAAACAUAAUACUAAAUAUUAACCAAAGUUUUCAUAAUUCAAACAAACAUAAUACAU